GAAAUGCGAUAAGUAGUGUGAAUUGCAGAAUUCAGUGAAUCAUCGAAUCUUUGAACGCACAUUGCGCCCCUUGGUAUUCCAUGGGGCAUGCCUAUUCGAGCGUCAUCUACACCCUCAAGCUCUGCUUGGUGUUGGGCGUCUGUCCCGCCCCCGCGCGUGGACUCGCCCCAAAUCCAUUGGCAGCGUUCCUUGCCCCCUCUCGCGCAGCACAUUGCGCUUCUCGAGGGCGGCUCCGGGACGCGAUCCAGCAAGAUGACCACCGUCUUUGACCUCGGAUCAGGUAGGGAUACCCGCUGAACUUAAGC
This 305-nucleotide unclassified non-coding RNA is filed under the name plant metagenome. RNAcentral describes it as "partial contains 5.8S ribosomal RNA, internal transcribed spacer 2, and large subunit ribosomal RNA". The stretch from base 1 to 105 matches the Rfam family "5.8S ribosomal RNA", at positions 50 to 154 of the family's 154-position model. The record is from RNAcentral.